Molecule: long non-coding RNA, 2857 nt
Organism: Perca fluviatilis (European perch)
Lineage: Eukaryota; Metazoa; Chordata; Actinopteri; Perciformes; Percidae
Exons: 2
Source: RefSeq, a predicted model, not a curated record
GCAGAGAUAGGAGGAAAAGAGGACAGCGGCUCCGAGCCCUCCGUCUACCGCAGUUUGGCCUCAGAUGCGCCCAUGUCCAGCAGCAAGAAGUCAGAGAGACGUCUGCGUCAGAGUCCCGAGAUGCUGGUGACUGGGAGGCUCACACAUGCCCGACGGCCUGUUUGGAGAAUGACCAGUUUAUUGGAAAAACACCAAAAUGUCCCUCUAAACCCCAAAUAAUCCCACGACACGAUUUUUUUCUUUCUUAACUCUUAAUUAAUUCACAAUUAACAGUUUGUACAGUUCGACCGCACUGUGUACUCAGCACGAGCAACUACUGAAGCCCGGAAGUUGCAGAAGGCCAGACAGAUUUAGCCUACUGCAAGUUUGAGGUAAAAAAAACGAAAAACGAAAACAAUCGAGCAAAAUGUGUUUAGAGAACGAGCAAAAUGUGUUUAGAGAACGAGCAAAAUGUGUAGCAUGGUUGUCCAGUGUAUAAAUCGAAAAUAACCUUAUUCUCAGCAUGACAGUCAGGUGUCUAUUUGACAUACAGAUGACCACUAAAUGUGCAGUGCGAGGCUUGCUCAAGUAAAGUAGCCUACGUUUUAAGAAAUGGCCCGCAAACAUAUUUUUAAAUAUAAAAAAAAAUGCUGAAAAAAAAGACGUUUUUUGACUCUUAUGAGUGCAUUUACCUGUGAAACAAAUCUGAGGGUAGGCUACACUGCACAGCAAACUAACACAGAUAAACACAUUGUGCAGUAAUUAACAACAUUCACAUAAUCGCUGUAAAUUUAGCUGGCCUAUAUAAGGUAUAUUUAUCAUUUAUGAGGAAUUUCGAAGAACAGGCCUAAAAUUAAAACAGAAGUACACCUGAACUACAUGUGGCUGGACAUUAAAGUAUUAAAUAUACAAGAAAAACGCGACAUCACUAAUAAUGAUUAAAGUAUGGAUGAAAAACGGUGAAGUUGUUUGUUAAAAGCUAUACAUUGUUUUAUUAGAACAAUAGACCAAAUACUUUGUCCAUCUGAAAAUAAUUUGAAGAAACCUACUUGCAUUUGUCUAUGAAUGUGGCUUAAAUAAUAAUUUAUACUCCUUUGCACUGAUGCUGAUGCACCAUAUGCUUAUUGACCUCAUUUCAAUUAUGGCAUAUUUUUUUCUUAAAAUAAUGUGGAUGAAAUGUCUUAAAACCUAAAGCCACAUCUCAACCACCACGGCCAUUACGUUUUUUUUUCUUCUAUUUUGUGGAAACAGGGGACACAAUAACAAAAUAACACAAAUGGUUGUUGGCAUAAACCCUUGAUUUAGGCUAUAUUAUCAAAACAAAAUAAAAAAAGGAGCCACCCAAGGAAAAGUUAACAAGUUGGGUUCCUUUUAAAAGUUCUUUGGAAGAAAUGUAAAUCUAAAAAAUAAAUUCUUUAUGUUACAAAAGUUACAAAAACCAACUGGAGGAAAUGUACUGGCGUGCGUCAGCCCUGAUCAUGUAAAGCAACCUAGAAGUGUCAAUUAGGCUGAGCUUUGGGUUAAUAGAAGCCCUGAAUGGUGGAUCUCACCACAGCCCUCUAAACCAGCCAUUACUGCAGACCACAACGACUCUGAUACCACACUGUUUUAAGACCCAACAUUAUGUGGGCAAUAUGUUCCCUAAAGCUCACUGUAAGAGGAGAAGGGCACAUUGUGGGAUCAGGCAGGCAGAGUUCAGACAACAUGGAGGGACUGUUUUUUCUAAAGUCUGUAAACCUUCAAAUGAUUCUUUCCUAAAAAUUACAAGUUUAAGAUCCUGGAAUAGAACUGCAAACCAUGACUGACAUGUUAAAAACUAAUUAUCAGAGAAGAGACCAGCCGAUUCAUUGCUGGUGAUAAAUUGCAGCAGACAAAUAUUCACUUAUCAAAGAUGGAUUUGGCACCAAGUGUUUACGAGUUUAGAGAAACGUAAACAGACGUCUUUAAUCAUCAGGCACACAUUUUAUCAAAGUAAUUACUAGAUAUUGAAGUGCACAAUAAGGAUAACAAUAUAAGGAACCAUCUCAGAUUAUGUUUAAGUAGUUACAGAGUAAAUGUGGUGUCUGAGCAAUAUGGAAAUCGAACAGAUGUUUGACGCACCUGUCUAUGUAGCACAACAUGACUGAGUUAAAUGGUCCCUCCUCUGUCCGCAAAUCAAAAUCUCAAAACACUCUGAUUUGUAAAGCGAAAUAAUGUUGUUACAAAUGGUGAUUGUUACAAUAAACUGAAGCAAUAUAACUCAGGGUGGACCAAGGUGAAAAUAACAAAUGUCCUCAGAAGUAAAGGUGAAACAGAAAGACAUUCACGGACCUUUAAGAAAAAAAAAGGAGAAAACAAUGCAAAGGGAAAUGGCAGCUCAUCCAGACAACUUUAUUGUGCUAUUUACAAAAUGUACAAAUUUGCAAAGCUACUGUGCACAAUUAAACUACCAAGGCCUAACAAGAUCACAAAAAGAACUACGGACGGUCAAUCAAAUAGAUGGAAGAAAUAAAGAAAAGCAAAUAUAGCUGAGCUGGAGAAUUGAGUGACUAUUAUACCUAAAUGAUAAGCCAAAUUUUAGACUCAAAGCACUGCCAGCAGUGCACAAAAAACACUGCACAGCUAAAAAAGCACAACACAAUAAAAAACAAAGGCCUCAGUCCUGCUGCCACUCUUCCCUCUGACUCCUGCAGCAUAUCUCCUGCUCUCACCGCCCUCUGCUGCAGUGAAAAUUAAAUACUCAUUUGGCCUUACACAAAAUAUACUCUGCACCAAGACCAUAUGUCAAACUCGGUGGAACUAUUUUUUUCCCUCUCAAUCAUCAUUCCUCUUCCCGCUAAAAGAAAUGGCCCAGACAAUUCUGCGCCUCCAUGCGAGUAGUGCAAUAAGCGGUGGAAAG